Balaenoptera musculus (blue whale) is the source of this 135-nucleotide small nucleolar RNA. Ensembl annotates it as small nucleolar RNA, H/ACA box 55. Its record names the gene SNORA55. The record is from Ensembl. Lineage: Eukaryota; Metazoa; Chordata; Mammalia; Artiodactyla; Balaenopteridae.
GCACCUGAAUCUUUCCCAUUCUUUGCUGCUUUGUGCUGGUGUGGGGACAGAUGGUGCCACAGCAUGAGCAGAGGAAAUCCAGACGGGUUGUCUUCCAUUUGUCUUGAGGCCUGUCUCUACAACUCUGCCACACUU